RNAcentral lists this ribosomal RNA (460 nucleotides) under uncultured bacterium. RNAcentral describes it as "partial 16S ribosomal RNA". It matches the Rfam family "Bacterial small subunit ribosomal RNA", at positions 338 to 795 of the family's 1533-position model. The record is from RNAcentral.
CCUACGGGGGGCAGCAGUGAGGAAUAUUGGUCAAUGGACGCGAGUCUGAACCAGCCAAGUAGCGUGAAGGAUGACUGCCCUACGGGUUGUAAACUUCUUUUAUAUAGGAAUAAAGUUCAGCACGUGUACCUUUUUGUAUGUACCUUAUGAAUAAGGAUCGGCUAACUCCGUGCCAGCAGCCGCGGUAAUACGGAGGAUCCGAGCGUUAUCCGGAUUUAUUGGGUUUAAAGGGAGCGUAGGUGGGUGGUUAAGUCAGUUGUGAAAGUUUGCGGCUCAACCGUAAAAUUGCAGUUGAUACUGGGAGUCUGGAGUGCAGCUGAGGUAGGCGGAAUUCGUGGUGUAGCGGUGAAAUGCUUAGAUAUCACGAAGAACUCCGAUUGCGAAGGCAGCUUACUAAACUGCAACUGACACUGAUGCUCGAAAGUGUGGGUAUCAAACAGGAUUAGAUACCCGGGUAGUC